This 635-nucleotide ribosomal RNA is filed under the name uncultured archaeon. RNAcentral describes it as "partial 16S ribosomal RNA". The record is from RNAcentral.
GAAGUACCUCUCACCUCUCCCGGCCUCGAGCCGAAUAGUAUCUCCUGAAAGCCCAACAGUUAGGCUGCUGGAUUUCCCAAGAGACUUAUCCGGCCGGCUACAGACCCUUUAGACCCAAUAAUAACGGUUACCACUCGAGCCGCCGGUGUUACCGCGGCGGCUGGCACCGGUCUUGCCCGGCCCUUGCUAUGUAAUGCUUUUUAGGCAUCACGACAGCCAGAUUUGUAACCUGGCACUCGAGGUCCCCUUAUCGCUGUUUCCAGCAUUGUAAAGUUUUCGCGCCUGCUGCACCCCGUAGGGCCUGGAUUCGUGUCUCAGAAUCCAUCUCCGGGCUCUUGCUCUCACAACCCGUACCCGUCGUUGGCUAGUAGGUACGUUACACCCACUACAACCUGAUAGGCCGCAGACCCAUCCUAAGGCGCCGGAGCUUUCGUCCUCGGUGCAUUCCAGCAGCCGAGGACUAUCGGGGAUUAUACCCAGUUUCCCGGGUUUAUACCCGUCCUCAGGGUAGGUUGUCCACGUGUUACUGAGCAGUACGCCAUGCCUUGCGGCAUUCGACUCGCAUGGCUUAGUCGAACCUCGAUAGCAGUAACCUCUGGCAGGAUCGACCAGAUCUGCAGCGGCCGCGGACCGCA